UACGUAGGGGGCAAGCGUUGUCCGGAUUUAUUGGGCGCAAAGAGCGUGUAGGCGGCUUGGUAGGUCUCGCGUCAAAACCUGAGGCUCAACCUCAGUUCGCGUGGGAAACCACCUAGCUAGAGUCCGGAAGAGGAGAACGGAAUUCCCAGUGUAGCGGUGAAAUGCGCAGAUAUUGGGAAGAACACCAGUGGCGAAGGCGGUUCUCUGGGACGGUACUGACGCUGAGACGCGAAAGCGUGGGGAGCGAACAGG
RNAcentral lists this ribosomal RNA (252 nucleotides) under uncultured bacterium. Its description in RNAcentral is "partial 16S ribosomal RNA". It matches the Rfam family "Bacterial small subunit ribosomal RNA", at positions 524 to 776 of the family's 1533-position model. The record is from RNAcentral.